AUGCCUCAUGACAGAUGGAUGCCAGAGACAAGCAGGUUCUGCGUACCCUGCGGCUGGUGCUCUGCUCAGAGGUGCUGGUGGAGGGGCUCAUCAUUCAGUACCUCUACCAGGAAGGCAUUCUAACAGAAAACCACCUUCAAGAAAUAAAGUCCCAAGCCACCAAUCACAGAAAAACCAUGAUGCUUCUAGAUAUCCUUCCUACCAGAGGACCCAAGGCCUUUCAGACUUUCUUAGAUUCCUUACAGGAGUUUCCAUGGGUGAGAGACAACUUGGAGAGAAAACGUAAGGAAAUGAUGGCAGAGGAUCCUGUAGAUGACGGGUUAACUGGAAUUCCACCAGAAGUUUUGAAGAACCCACCAACGGAUCAGCAGAUUAACAAACUUGCCAGGAGUCUGGGGCCUGAGUGGGAGCAUAUUGUACUAUACCUGGGUUUGUCACAGAAUGACAUCUACAGAUGUAAAGUCAAUCACCCUCACAAUGUGCAGUCACAGAUUGUGGCUGCAUUUGUCCUUUGGAGACAGCGUUUUGGAAUCAAAGCAACAAUCCAAAGUCUGCACACCAGUCUGAUGGCCGGAGAAGUGGAUCCUUCUGUGAUCCAGCAUAUGCUUGAGUGAAGUCUUGUCAUCGAUUGGAGGCUCUUGAGUUUUUUGCUAAAUGAAAUGCAUUGGAUUCACUGAAUCACUUAUCAGUGUUCUGAUGUCUCUUAAUUAGAAAGCGAGGAAAUGGCAGACAAGCAGCUUGAGUGACCACCAUUGCAAACUAAACAGACGUACUGUGGUAUUGUCUUUACCAUGGUAUUUCCUGUAUUUCAGCUGUGUACCGCAAUGAGACUUGCACACCACCCAUCUUUUAAGGAUCUCAUCACAGUGCCGUGGGUUGGCAGGUGACCAAGUCUUCACUAUAAUGGAACCUAAGGUGGCACUUGCUGCUGGAAUCUAAGGCCACGUCUACACGCGCCUCUACACGUCUAGACGCGAUAAAUGGAUCCCCGAAUCGAUGCCCAUACUCCACCUCGGCAAGAGGAGUAAGCAGAGUCGACGGGGGAGCCGUGGUGGUCAACUUGCCGCCAUGGGGACAGCCAGGUAAGUCGAGCUAAGAUACUUCGACUUCAGCUACGCGAAUAGCGUAGCUGAAGUUGCGUAUCUUAGAUCGAUCCCCCCCUCCCCCCCCCCAGUGUAGACCAGCCCUUACACUUCCUUCCUGCUGCUUAAAAUCUAUUGAAGGCCCUUUCCACCUCCCAAACAGUGUCUUCUGUUCUAAAAAGCACUGGUGUCCUUUGUAACGAUACCCCUUUGUUUUGGGUUUUUAGCACUUAAUUUAAUUUUUGUAUCUGUUUUGCGCUGUUUUCCUGGAUCAGUUCUAACUCAGCUGUACAGAAUCGGUAGCACCUCUUCAGGGGGUAUAUAUAGAAUUCCAACAGUCAUUAUUCUUGCUCCUGUACAGAAGUGAAAUGCUUGCCCUCAGUGUUUUAGAGAUUGAUUUGUUUUUAAGGGCUGGAGUGUGCCUUUAGGGACUGCCCUGAAUAAGGGACAGUGCAUAACUCGCACCAUCCCAGACGAGGCCCUGGGAAGUAUUGUGUCUUAGACACACCCUUCGCGGGCACAAAUCCCUCGGGGCUCCCUUGAUGCUCUGGAGGGAGAGUCAUUUGCAACACCCCUUUUCUAGGGUGCAGCAUUACUUCCUUACUCCCCACGGCAUGGCCAACCAACCCUGCUGGCUGGUGCAUGACAGGCAUAGCACCAACCUCUCACACCUCUUCCCAUCCAAUCCCUUCCCGCUGCUUUUGUGGGGAGCAUCCGACAGGCAGCCAUUGUGCUCCCCCUGCUCCUAGAUCUAAGUCUGUGCUAAUAUGGCCAUGCAUGGGGAAUCCUUACUGCCAUCUGGUCCCUUGCCUGGUCACAUUAGGGCUAAUCAUAAUUUUGCUGUCAGAGUGUAGAUUGGUGAAGUGGCAUUACUGUUGCUAUAUUUUGUUCUGUGAUCUUAGACCCCCUUCCUCCUCCUUCUCCUCUCUUUUAUAUAAGGUUGAUCUUUAGUUCCUAAAUGCAAAACACACCCCUAAAAUUACCCUGACCAUAAUAGGGCGUUAUAUAAUUCAGUGCCCAUUCUACCACUGACCUAUUUAGAAGAACAAAAUCCAAGUAAUGCAAAUGUACCUUUGCCCCAGUGUCUCUGCCUCAUUCACCGUUGGUAAUGUAAGAGUGUGGUGCUUCUAGCUUUGGCCUUGUAUAUCGACAAACACCUGUCAGGAUGGUCUAAGUAUACUUGGUCCUGCCUCAGCGCAUGGGAGUGGAUUAGAUGACCUCUCAAAGCCCCUUCCAGCUGUACAUUUCUAUGAUUUUUAUACCAUGCAAAUGUGGAUCUGCAUAUGAUGCAAAAAAAUUUGGUCUCAUGAUUAAGGUUAAGAUUCUGUCAUGGGUAUUUUUAGUAAAAGACAGGGAGAGGUCAUGACCUGUCCCUAACUUUUACUAAAAAUACCUUGUCAGAGCACUGCCAGAGGCUAUCCUCUGGCAGCUGUUCUGGUGGCCCCAGGGCUGACAGCUAUUCCAGGCCUGUCCUGGAAGAAGUCACAGAGGUCCCAGAAAGUCACGGAACCCGUGACCUCCGUUGCAGAAUCAUAUCCUUACUCAUAAUAAAUUGUACUGUUAUUUUUUGCCUUAUUAGAAACCAUCCAGUAAUAAAUUUUGAUGCUCCAUCCUCUUGUGUUAGUGCAAGCUGUUUUAGUCCAGUUUUACAAGUACAUAGAGGGUUUUUUCCCCUUCAGUAUGGGAUCCCAGCCCUGAUUUUAGAAGCUAAAAUAUAAAGGAUGCAUUGUAAUACCAUUACUUUACUUGUAUCAAAAUGACCGCACUGCUAGUAUCAACUGUAUUGUUUUUAAAUGAAUACAUAUUUAUAAUUUAAAUGUAAAUUAUGUGUUGAUUUUGGUGGUAUGCUACUCAUGAGGCUUUGAUUUGGAGACAGACUGAGCCGUAGGACCCAGGUCUCUAGGCUGAAGGAGAUUACUUUACUGAGGUCAUGAACUCUCUUUAGGGGAGAGGGAAGAACAUUGAAUGUAUUGCAGUGUAAUACCCUCUGCUGGGUAACCUGUGCAGUACUAUUGCUUUUGCUUUAGAAUAUCUUUGCCCAAAUUCCCAGAUAAGUUCAUAUUAAUGAAAUAGCGUUUCUGGGGAAAGUCAGUAAACAUGUUUUCUUUCCUAAUUUGAAUGUGCUGAAUCUGAAACGAUGUUUACCAAGCUCAAUUUUCAACUUUAAGGUAAAUAAAAACAAUAAAAGAAAAGGGCCACCAUUUACAACUUUAAAAAAAUAAACAUAAAGUAAAGGAGAGGUACUAAAUAUGGACUAUGUUUCUAAUUUGGAAUACUGUGCUCUCAGAAAGAUCUCUGUAGAAGAGCAUACUUCCUCUGGUCACGUGAUAAUAUGGACUUGAAGUUUGUUGGUUCUGCAGUACAUUUAAGAUUAAGUAAACUAACUACUUUUCAGAUUUUUUUUAAUAUGUGAAGAAUGUAAAGGAACUGCUGUGCAUUACACAAAAUAUCAUACUACAACAUGGUAUGAUACAGUUUAUUUCUAUAAGUUCUUCUCUUUCAAAAAUACAAAUUAUUAUUGGCUAAAUAUUCGCUCUUGCCACUACCCCAACCUCAAGCUGUCUUUUGCUUACAAGGUAAGUGAGUUGAGUUUGAUUUGGAUAUCUAUGUCAUGGCAUAAGCUACAUAUGGGUAAAUAUUUUGUAAUUAUGUAUUCAAUAUUUACAUGGUAGUUAUUAUAUUUAUUAUUUU
RNA transcript from Trachemys scripta elegans, 3773 nucleotides. It is a transcript of the gene named CASP2 and RIPK1 domain containing adaptor with death domain, with no coding region annotated. The record is from RefSeq and is a predicted model, not a curated record. The transcript has 4 exons. NCBI's taxonomy places the organism in Eukaryota, Metazoa, Chordata, Testudines, Emydidae.